AUGGACGAACGGAUCCUAGAAGCAGCCACCGAUGGUGAUUCCUCAUCAAUUAAAGAGUGGGCCAAGGAGAAUCCAGGCAUUCUGCUUGGAACAAGCCCACAAGGGAACAACUGCCUCCACAUCUCCACCAUCCAUGGGCACAAAAAAUUCUGCAUGGAUGUGCUGGAACUAGAGCCGUCUCUCCUUUCAGAUGUCAACUGCGAGCACGAGACGCCGCUUAUCAUCGCUGUAACACUUGGCCAUGCAUCUUUGGUUUCAUAUUUACUCGAGUGCUGCCGCAAAGAAGAAGAAUUGAGGCGGACAAUCUUGCAACAAGACAGGUAUGGAUUCAACGCACUUCACCAUGCCAUUCGCAACGGCUACCAGAAGCUCGCGCUGGAGUUGAUAAAAGCAGAGCCCGCCCUGUCUAAAGCCGUGACCAGGUACAAUGAGUCGCCCAUGUUCAUGGCCGUGAUGAGGAAUUUUGCAGAUGUUUCCGAAAAGCUAUUAGCCAUUGUUGAUUCUUCCCAUGUGGGAAAGUAUGGCCGCCAUGCUCUUCAUGCUGCAGCUAGAAAUGGAAAUGAAGAUAUUGCGGACGAAAUUUUGGAGAAACGUUCUCACCUGGCCAGAGAAGCUGACUCGGAUGGGAUUACUCCAAUACGAAUGGCUGUAUCUCAUGACAAGUCUGACGUGCUGAUCACAUUGCUGCAACAUGAUUCUUCUUUAGCAUAUGAAACCGACAAGACUGGUUAUCCUCUCCUCUGUUCGGCCGCUACUCGGGGUCAAGUUAAUGUUGCUCGAGUGCUUCUUCUCUAUUGCCCGGAUGCUUUUUAUUGCCCGGUACUCAGAGAUGGUACGGCAAUUGGAAAAAGUUUGACAUGCCUUCACAUAGCUGUACAGAACGGUCAUCUAGAGUUCGUCGAAUUUAUCUUGAGGAGGCCGCAACUUCGGAAACUCAUUAACAUGCAAGACAUGGAUGGAAAAAAUGCUCUGCAUUACGCAAUCCAGCAGUGUGAUCCUAAACUUGUUGCUGCAUUACUGGCUCAUGACGAUAUAAUAGACACUACAAUUCUCGACAACCAUGGUAACUCAGCGGCUUCGCAAUUAUCGAGCAUUACUGAUGAAGACAAGCCUUUAGACUGGAAGGAAGUGCACGUGCUUAUGUGA
This 1146-nucleotide ribosomal RNA is filed under the name Triticum aestivum (bread wheat). Its description in RNAcentral is "partial small subunit ribosomal RNA". Lineage: Eukaryota; Viridiplantae; Streptophyta; Magnoliopsida; Poales; Poaceae. The record is from RNAcentral.